Molecule: ribosomal RNA, 667 nt
Filed under: Salmonella enterica subsp. enterica serovar Enteritidis
Lineage: Bacteria; Pseudomonadati; Pseudomonadota; Gammaproteobacteria; Enterobacterales; Enterobacteriaceae
Description: partial 23S ribosomal RNA
Rfam family: Bacterial large subunit ribosomal RNA
Source: RNAcentral
GGGUUGUGAGGUUAAGCGACUAAGCGUACACGGUGGAUGCCCUGGCAGUCAGAGGCGAUGAAGGGCGUGCUAAUCUGCGAUAAGCGCCGGUAAGGUGAUAUGAACCGUUAUAACCGGCGAUACCCGAAUGGGGAAACCCAGUGUGAUUCGUCACACUAUCAUUAACUGAAUCCAUAGGUUAAUGAGGCGAACCGGGGGAACUGAAACAUCUAAGUACCCCGAGGAAAAGAAAUCAACCGAGAUUCCCCCAGUAGCGGCGAGCGAACGGGGAGGAGCCCAGAGCCUGAAUCAGCAUGUGUGUUAGUGGAAGCGUCUGGAAAGGCGCGCGAUACAGGGUGACAGCCCCGUACACAAAAGCGCAUGUGCUGUGAGCUCGAUGAGUAGGGCGGGACACGUGGUAUCCUGUCUGAAUAUGGGGGGACCAUCCUCCAAGGCUAAAUACUCCUGACUGACCGAUAGUGAACCAGUACCGUGAGGGAAAGGCGAAAAGAACCCCGGCGAGGGGAGUGAAAAAGAACCUGAAACCGUGUACGUACAAGCAGUGGGAGCACCCUUUGGGUGUGACUGCGUACCUUUUGUAUAAUGGGUCAGCGACUUAUAUUCUGUAGCAAGGUUAACCGAAUAGGGGAGCCGGAGGGAAACCGAGUCUUAACCGGGCGUUAAGUUG